RNAcentral lists this unclassified non-coding RNA (348 nucleotides) under soil metagenome. RNAcentral describes it as "partial contains 5.8S ribosomal RNA, internal transcribed spacer 2, and large subunit ribosomal RNA". The stretch from base 1 to 120 matches the Rfam family "5.8S ribosomal RNA", at positions 35 to 154 of the family's 154-position model. The record is from RNAcentral.
GAUGAAGAACGUAGCGAAAUGCGAUAAGUAAUGUGAAUUGCAGAAUUCAGUGAAUCAUCGAAUCUUUGAACUCACAUUGCGCCCGCCAGUAUUCUGGCGGGCAUGCCUGUCUGAGCGUCAUUUCAACCCUCAUGCCCCUAGGGCGUGGUGUUGGGGAUCGGCCAAAGCCCGCGAGGGACGGCCGGCCCCUAAAUCUAGUGGCGGACCCGUCGUGGCCUCCUCUGCGAAGUAGUGAUAUUCCGCAUCGGAGAGCGAUGAGCCCCUGCCGUUAAACCCCCAACUUUCCAAGGUUGACCUCAGAUCAGGUAGGAAUACCCGCUGAACUUAAGCAUAUCAAUAAGCGGAGGA